Mycena rebaudengoi is the source of this 97-nucleotide non-coding RNA. The record is from the annotation of a GenBank genome assembly. Lineage: Eukaryota; Fungi; Basidiomycota; Agaricomycetes; Agaricales; Mycenaceae.
UCGGACGUGGUGCACGGUGCACGGCCGCAUUCUGGUUCCGUUCCAUGGCCAUACUAUAGCACUGCCGCAGGCCGGGGUUCGACUCCCCGCGUCCGAA